UACGUAGGGUGCAAGCGUUAAUCGGAAUUACUGGGCGUAAAGCGUGCGCAGGCGGUUGUGCAAGACCGAUGUGAAAUCCCCGGGCUUAACCUGGGAAUGUCAUUGGUGACUGCACGGCUAGAGUGUGUCAGAGGGGGGUAGAAUUCCACGUGUAGCAGUGAAAUGCGUAGAGAUGUGGAGGAAUACCGAUGGCGAAGGCAGCCCCCUGGGAUAACACUGACGCUCAUGCACGAAAGCGUGGGGAGCAAACAGG
Molecule: ribosomal RNA, 253 nt
Filed under: uncultured bacterium
Lineage: Bacteria
Description: partial 16S ribosomal RNA
Rfam family: Bacterial small subunit ribosomal RNA
Source: RNAcentral